RNAcentral lists this ribosomal RNA (390 nucleotides) under uncultured bacterium. RNAcentral describes it as "bacterial SSU rRNA". It matches the Rfam family "Bacterial small subunit ribosomal RNA", at positions 28 to 420 of the family's 1533-position model. The record is from RNAcentral.
GACGAACGCUGGCGGCGUGCUUAACACAUGCAAGUCGAGCGGUAAGGCCCUUUCGGAGGUACACGAGCGGCGAACGGGUGAGUAACACGUGGGUGACCUGCCCUCAGCUCUGGGAUAAGCCUGGGAAACUGGGUCUAAUACUGGAUAUGACUCCACGGUGCAUGUCGUGGGGUGGAAAGCCUUGUGCGGCUGAGGAUGGGCCCGCGGCCUAUCAGCUUGUUGGGGGGUGAUGGCCUACCAAGGCGACGACGGGUAGCCGGCCUGAGAGGGCGACCGGCCACACUGGGACUGAGACACGGCCCAGACUCCUACGGGAGGCAGCAGUGGGGAAUCUUGCGCAAUGGGCGAAAGCCUGACGCAGCGACGCCGCGUGAGGGAUGACGGCCUCGG